UACAGAGGCCACAAGCGUUAGUCGGAAUUACUGGGCUUAAAGGGUGCGUAGGCGGCCUCUCAAGCGUCCUGUGAAAGCCUCCCGCUCAACGGGAGAACAGCAGGGCGAACUGGGAGGCUCGAAGUUGGUAGGGGCUCACAGAACAGUCGGUGGACCGGUGAAAUGGGUAGAGAUCGACUGGAAUGCCGAUGGCGAAGGCGGUGAGCUGGGCCAAUCUUGACGCUGAGGCACGAAAGCGUGGGGAGCAAACAGGAUUAGAAACCCUAGUAGU
RNAcentral lists this ribosomal RNA (271 nucleotides) under uncultured bacterium. RNAcentral's name for it is "partial 16S ribosomal RNA". It matches the Rfam family "Bacterial small subunit ribosomal RNA", at positions 524 to 794 of the family's 1533-position model. The record is from RNAcentral.